Molecule: non-coding RNA, 23 nt
Filed under: Cricetulus griseus (Chinese hamster)
Lineage: Eukaryota; Metazoa; Chordata; Mammalia; Rodentia; Cricetidae
Source: RNAcentral
GAUACAGCUGUGCCUCUGAGAUG